This 512-nucleotide long non-coding RNA is filed under the name Spirodela polyrhiza (greater duckweed). RNAcentral describes it as "long non-coding RNA (SPOL_LNC002110)". Lineage: Eukaryota; Viridiplantae; Streptophyta; Magnoliopsida; Alismatales; Araceae. The record is from RNAcentral.
CUUCCAUCAAUAAAAUUACCGGUCUUGUAUCAGUCAAACCAAACAAACCAUUAACCUGCAGAAAACAAAGCCCCCCCUUCUCCCUCCUCUCUCUCGACUUACGAUUGAACCAGACGUUGGAGGCGAUGGUCUCUGUCUUCGCGGUCCAGGUGUUGAAGUAGUCGAGAAUCGUCUCUAUGGGGCUGCUGGUCGACUUGUCCACUGGCGUGCGGUCCAGGAGAUACGGCGGCGGCACGUCCUCGUGCGUGGGGAUCGCUGAGGCGGCCUGCUGGUUGUGCGGGUGCGUCGACGGCGCCGCCGGCGGACCCAUGUGCCUCGUCUCCCACUUAUCCUCCCCAACCCCCGCCGUCGACGGCGCCGGAGGAGGCUGCUGGUUGCCCUCCGCCAUGGCUAGAACUCGCAAGAGGAUGAUGAACCAACCGCCUGAGAUGACAAGAGAUGGAAGAAACUUGCCCGAAGAAGAAGGCAGAAGGAUGCGCCAACCGUUCCAGAUGACAAGGGAAGGAACCGAC